This is a small nucleolar RNA of Eptesicus fuscus (big brown bat), 75 nucleotides long. RefSeq annotates it as small nucleolar RNA SNORA17. The record is from RefSeq and is a predicted model, not a curated record. The transcript has a single exon. NCBI's taxonomy places the organism in Eukaryota, Metazoa, Chordata, Mammalia, Chiroptera, Vespertilionidae.
CUUGCUGGUACCACAGAUGCAGCUACUGUGCUGCAACUGUGAUGUCAGGGCAAAGAGGAAAUGGUUACUAAUAUA